RNAcentral lists this ribosomal RNA (253 nucleotides) under uncultured bacterium. Its description in RNAcentral is "partial 16S ribosomal RNA". It matches the Rfam family "Bacterial small subunit ribosomal RNA", at positions 524 to 776 of the family's 1533-position model. The record is from RNAcentral.
UACGUAGGGAGCAAGCGUUGUCCGGAAUCAUUGGGCGUAAAGCGCGCGUAGGUGGCUUCGUAAGUCCGUUGUGAAAGUCAAAGGCUCAACCUUUGAAAGCCGAUGGAUACUGCGGAGCUAGAGUACGGAAGAGGCGAGUGGAAUUCCUGGUGUAGUGGUGGAAUGCGCAGAUAUCAGGAGGAAGACCGGUGGCGAAGGCGGUCUGCUGGGCAGUUUCUGACACUGAUGCGCGACAGCGUGGGGAGCAAACAGG